This is a non-coding RNA of Stegodyphus mimosarum, 73 nucleotides long. NCBI's taxonomy places the organism in Eukaryota, Metazoa, Arthropoda, Arachnida, Araneae, Eresidae. The record is from Rfam.
GCCUUCGUGGUGUAGUAGUCAGCCCGCUCGACGCGUAACCGAAAGGUCCGUGGUUCGAUUCCCGGCGAAAGCG